Molecule: ribosomal RNA, 373 nt
Filed under: uncultured organism
Description: partial 16S ribosomal RNA
Rfam family: Bacterial small subunit ribosomal RNA
Source: RNAcentral
GUAGGUGGCAAGCGUUGUCCGGAAUUAUUGGGCGUAAAGCGCGCGCAGGCGGUUCUUUAAGUCUGAUGUGAAAGCCCACGGCUCAACCGUGGAGGGUCAUUGGAAACUGGAGAACUUGAGUACAGAAGAGGAAAGCGGAAUUCCACGUGUAGCGGUGAAAUGCGUAGAGAUGUGGAGGAACACCAGUGGCGAAGGCGGCUUUCUGGUCUGUAACUGACGCUGAGGCGCGAAAGCGUGGGGAGCAAACAGGAUUAGAUACCCUGGUAGUCCACGCCGUAAACGAUGAGUGCUAAGUGUUAGGGGGGUUUUCCGCCCCCCUUAGUGCUGCAGCUAACGCAUUAGCACUCCGCCUGGGAGUACGGCCGCAAGGCUG